CGGGGGAGCAAGCGUUGUUCGGAUUUACUGGGCGUAAAGGGCGCGCAGGCGGCCACCGCAAGUCAGUUGUGAAAUCUCUGGGCUUAACCCAGAAAGGUCAACUGAUACUGCGGGGCUAGAGUGCAGAAGGGGCAACUGGAAUUCUCGGUGUAGCGGUGAAAUGCGUAGAUAUCGAGAGGAACACCUGCGGCGAAGGCGGGUUGCUGGGCUGACACUGACGCUGAGGCGCGAAAGCUAGGGGAGCGAACGGGAUUAGAUACCCCGGUAGUCCUAGCCUUAAACGAUGAAUGCUUGGUGUCUGGGGUUUUAUAGUCCCCGGGUGCCGUCGCUAACGCUUUAAGCAUUCCGCCUGGGGAGUACGGUCGCAAGACUG
RNAcentral lists this ribosomal RNA (373 nucleotides) under uncultured organism. RNAcentral describes it as "bacterial SSU rRNA". It matches the Rfam family "Bacterial small subunit ribosomal RNA", at positions 527 to 896 of the family's 1533-position model. The record is from RNAcentral.